RNAcentral lists this ribosomal RNA (460 nucleotides) under uncultured bacterium. RNAcentral's name for it is "partial 16S ribosomal RNA". It matches the Rfam family "Bacterial small subunit ribosomal RNA", at positions 338 to 795 of the family's 1533-position model. The record is from RNAcentral.
CCUACGGGACGCAGCAGUGAGGAAUAUUGGUCAAUGGACGGAAGUCCGAACCAGCCAUGCCGCGUGCAGGAAGACGGCUCUAUGAGUUGUAAACUGCUUUUGUACAAGGGUAAACCUGAAUACGUGUAUUCAGCUGAAAGUACUGUACGAAUAAGGAUCGGCUAACUCCGUGCCAGCAGCCGCGGUAAUACGGAGGAUCCAAGCGUUAUCCGGAUUUAUUGGGUUUAAAGGGUGCGUAGGCUGAUUGAUAAGUUAGAGGUGAAAUGUACGAGCUAAACUCGGGAACUGCCUCUAAUACUGUUGAUCUAGAGAGUAGAUGCGGUAGGCGGAAUGUAUGGUGUAGCGGUGAAAGGCUUAGAGAUCAUACAGAACACCGAUUGCGAAGGCAGCUUACCAAUCUAUAUCUGACGUUGAGGCACGAAAGCGUGGGGAGCAAACAGGAUUAGAUACCCUGGUAGUC